Molecule: ribosomal RNA, 440 nt
Filed under: uncultured bacterium
Lineage: Bacteria
Description: partial 16S ribosomal RNA
Rfam family: Bacterial small subunit ribosomal RNA
Source: RNAcentral
CCUACGGGUGGCAGCAGUGGGGGAUAUUGCACAAUGGGGGGAACCCUGAUGCAGCGACGCCGCGUGGGUGAAGAAGCGCCUCGGCGCGUAAAGCCCUGUCAGCAGGGAAGAAAAUGACGGUACCUGAAGAAGAAGCCCCGGCUAACUACGUGCCAGCAGCCGCGGUAAUACGUAGGGGGCAAGCGUUAUCCGGAUUUACUGGGUGUAAAGGGGGCGCAGACGGCGAUGCAAGCCAGGAGUGAAAGCCCGGGGCUCAACCCCGGGACUGCUUUUGAAACUGCGUGGCUGGAGUGCAGGAGGGGCAGGCGGAAUGCCUGGUGUAGCGGUGAAAUGCGUAGAUAUCAGGAGGAACACCGGUGGCGAAGGCGGCCUGCUGGACUGCAACUGACGUUGAGGCCCGAAAGCGUGGGGAGCAAACAGGAUUAGAUACCCCGGUAGUC